Molecule: ribosomal RNA, 406 nt
Filed under: uncultured bacterium
Lineage: Bacteria
Description: bacterial SSU rRNA
Rfam family: Bacterial small subunit ribosomal RNA
Source: RNAcentral
AAUGAACGCUGGCGGCGUGGUUAAGACAUGCAAGUCGAACGGUUUUUGUUGUGUAGCAAUACAUAACAAAAGCAGUGGCGAACGGGUGCGUAACACGUGAACAAUCUACCUUCAAAUGGGGGAAUAGCUCGCCGAAAGGCGAAUUAAUACCGCAUGUGGUUGCCUCUCGCAUGAGAAGCAUACCAAAGUCAGGGACCGCAAGGCCUGACGUUAGAAGAGGAGUUCGCGGCCUAUCAGCUAGUUGGCGAGGUAACGCUCACCAAGGCUAAGACGGGUAGCUGGUCUGAGAGGAUGAUCAGCCACACUGGAAACUGAGACACGGUCCAGACACCUACGGGUGGCAAGCCAGUUUCGAAUCAUUCACAAUGGGCAAAGCCUGAUGGUGCGACGCCGCGUGAGGGAUGAA